ACUGCCCAUUUCUGUGACGUCCCGUUGUGUUCCGGUUUCCCGUUUCCUGUACGGGACUCUCACACCGCUUCAAAACACAACGCGGAGUCUGAUCCACGCGCACGCUUUUCUUGUUGAAUCUGUCUCUAUAUUAGGCUAUACAUGUGUAUAUAUUUAGGUGAUUCUUGUUUUGUAUAUAACCUUAGCCCAAUAAGUAAGGGCCCAGCUGUCCCAGUGGAAGUUUAAGCUCUCUGAGCCGAAUCGGAGGACCCCGUCCCGGUGGUUCCCUUCAGAAACGGGAGGGGAGGACGGCGUGCCGCGCUGCAGCGGCUGCUGCCGUACAUCAAAAACG
Perca fluviatilis (European perch) is the source of this 331-nucleotide long non-coding RNA. RefSeq lists it as uncharacterized. NCBI's taxonomy places the organism in Eukaryota, Metazoa, Chordata, Actinopteri, Perciformes, Percidae. The transcript has 3 exons. The record is from RefSeq and is a predicted model, not a curated record.